This 282-nucleotide ribosomal RNA is filed under the name uncultured bacterium. RNAcentral describes it as "partial 16S ribosomal RNA". It matches the Rfam family "Bacterial small subunit ribosomal RNA", at positions 524 to 799 of the family's 1533-position model. The record is from RNAcentral.
GACAGGGGGUGCAAACGUUGUUCGGAAUUACUGGGCGUAAAGCGCGUGUAGGUGGCGAGGCAAGUCGGGUGUGAAAGCCCUGGGCUCAACCCAGGAAGUGCACUCGAUACUGCCUAGCUAGAGUCCCGGAGAGGUUGGUGGAACCUCUCGGUGUAGAGGUGAAAUUCGUAGAUAUCGAGAAGAACACCGGUGGCGAAGGCGGCCAACUGGACGGUGACUGACACUGAGACGCGAAAGCGUGGGGAGACAAACAGGAUUAAGAACCCGGGUUAGUACCCCAGG